AUCUGACGAGUCCCAAACAGGACGAAAUGCGCGUCCUGGAU
Non-coding RNA from Schistosoma curassoni, 41 nucleotides. The record is from Rfam. Lineage: Eukaryota; Metazoa; Platyhelminthes; Trematoda; Strigeidida; Schistosomatidae.